CUGCCUUAUAGGGAUGAACUAGUCCCCUAAAUUUAUGUCCAUCUUUCAAUCUGUUGGCUAUUUUAUUUUUAGUUGUAGCUGGCAACACUUUGGUGGGAAAUAC
Small nucleolar RNA from Dendrobium catenatum, 103 nucleotides. RefSeq annotates it as small nucleolar RNA snoR99. The transcript has a single exon. The record is from RefSeq and is a predicted model, not a curated record. Lineage: Eukaryota; Viridiplantae; Streptophyta; Magnoliopsida; Asparagales; Orchidaceae.